RNAcentral lists this ribosomal RNA (468 nucleotides) under uncultured bacterium. Its description in RNAcentral is "partial 16S ribosomal RNA". It matches the Rfam family "Bacterial small subunit ribosomal RNA", at positions 28 to 507 of the family's 1533-position model. The record is from RNAcentral.
GACGAACGCUGGCGGCGUGCUUAACACAUGCAAGUCGAACGGUGAUGCUCCAGCUUGCUGGAGUGGAUCAGUGGCGAACGGGUGAGUAACACGUGAGCAACCUGCCCCAGACUCUGGGAUAAGCGCUGGAAACGGCGUCUAAUACUGGAUACGAAACUUGCACGCAUGGGCUUGGUUUGUAAAGUUUUUCGGUUUUGGAUGGUCUCGCGGCCUCCCAGCUUGUUGGGGAGGUAAUGACUGACCAAGGCUACGACGGGUAGCCUGCCUGAGAGGGCGACCGGCCACACUGGGACUGAGACACGGCGCAGACUCCUACGGGAGGCAGCAGUGGGGAAUAUUGCACAAUGGGCGAAAGCCUGAUGCGGCGACGCCGCGUGAGGGAUGACGGCCUUCGGGGUGUAAACCUCUUUCAGCGGGGAAGAAGCGAAAGUGACGGUACCUGAAGAAGAAGCACCGGCUAACUACGUG